AAAACCCUACUGUGUUCGUGAUCCUGCCGAGAGUGUUUUGAGCCAACACCAAAACAUUAGGAGCCUAACUCUGUAAACGGCGGGUAAGCCUUCUUCGAGAGGACACUUAAAGUUUACAGGAGGGCACCAACCUGCGAGAGCAGGUUCAAAACAUCGGCCCCACGGCAUCGGUGGGGUUUUA
RNAcentral lists this non-coding RNA (181 nucleotides) under Syntrophomonadaceae bacterium. RNAcentral's name for it is "6S RNA". It matches the Rfam family "6S / SsrS RNA". Rfam says of the family: E. coli 6S RNA was the first non coding RNA to be sequenced, but its function was unknown until recently. It consists of 184 nucleotides that fold into an extended hairpin structure with a large single-stranded internal bulge. The 6S RNA specifically associates with RNA polymerase holoenzyme containing the sigma70 specificity factor. The record is from RNAcentral. Lineage: Bacteria; Bacillati; Bacillota; Clostridia; Eubacteriales; Syntrophomonadaceae.